AUAAAAAUUAUAACUUUUUAGAUCUAGACUGUGUAAUAGAUACAGAAAAAACAAUACAAUUAUGGAUAGGAUAUAUGACAAAACAAUUAUUAGAUAAUAAUAUAAAUAUAACAGAUGCACCGGAAUAUAUAGAAAAAACAUUAAUAGGAUCAGUAAAACUAUGGUUUGCAAAUCUAACCGAAAAUAGCAAAAAAGUAUUAAGAACUAAUAAACCUAUAGAAGGAACAUCAUCAACAACAACUAAACUAACACCUAUAGAAUUAUUAAAAAAAUAUGAAACAGCUAUAAAACAUGAAUUUGGUAGUACGACAACAAUAGAAGAAGAACAAGAUGAAGAAAAAGAUACAAAUAGAAAUUUAAUGUUAAAAUUAGCAAUAUGUAAUAUGUGUUAUAUAGAUGAAUAUACUUGCGCAUUUAAAGAAUAUUAUUACAAAGGAGCAUAUAGUAUAGAAGAAAGUAAAGAAAUAAGAAAAUUAUAUUUUAAUAAAUUACCCGAGCCAUUUAGUUCAAAAAUAAUAAAAAGUUGGGAAGAAGCAAAAAUAGUAGAUACGUUAGGAGCAAGAAUAAAAUAUUUACAACAAUGGUAUAGAAACUUAUGUGAAAAAUAUAGAGAAGAAUUAAAAAUGGAAAAAACAUUAAUAAGAAAUUUAGCUUGUUGCAAAAAUAAAAUAGCACCCCAAUUUGGAUGCGAAGAAAGAUAUUAUAAGAAAAGAAAAAGACAUAAGAAAUAUAAGAAAUAUAAAAAAUCAAAAUAUAAAUAUAAAAAACCAAGAAAAAGAUACUAUGUAAAAAAUUAUAAACAUAAAAGACCAUAUAGAAAAAAGAAAUCUAUAAAAGAAUGUACUUGUUAUAAUUGUGGAAAGUUAGGACAUUUAGCUAGAGAUUGUAAAUUACCUAAAAAUCCAAAAAAUAAACAAAUAUCAGAAAUAAAAAUAGAAAAUACCGAAUACAUGCAGAUAGAUUAUAUAGAUUAUGAAUUAGAAAGUGAAGAUAGUAUAUAUGAAAUUUCAGAAAACGAAACAGAUAAUGAAAUAGAUAGCGAAAUAGAUGAAUCAAAUGACUGAAGAAGAUAUAAAAAUAAUAACAAAGGAAGAAUAUUUAAAUGAUGAAGGAACGGAACAAAAAAUAAUAUUUGACAGUAAUAUAUUUGAUGAAAUAAAAGGAAAAGAAUUAGAUUUAAGUGUAGACAAAAUAUUUAAAAUACCAACAAUAAAAAAUAUUUUUACUAGGAAAAAAGAUGAAUAUUAUGUAGUAUGCCAAAAAGAACAUGUAAUAGAUUGCAGAUAUGCAAAAGGAAAAGCUAGUAUACCACUAGUAACAAAAAGAAUAAUUAAUAAAGAAAUAAAUGAUAUAAAAAGUAAAGGAGAUCCAAUAAAAUAUGUACACCUUGGAGGUACAGAGAUAUUAAUAAAAGCAUGUUUUAGAGAAGGAAUAGAUACACCAAUAGAAUUAUAUUUAGCAGACGAU
RNAcentral lists this long non-coding RNA (1467 nucleotides) under Capsicum annuum. RNAcentral's name for it is "long non-coding RNA (CANN_LNC014922)". Lineage: Eukaryota; Viridiplantae; Streptophyta; Magnoliopsida; Solanales; Solanaceae. The record is from RNAcentral.